This 566-nucleotide ribosomal RNA is filed under the name Salmonella enterica. RNAcentral's name for it is "partial 23S ribosomal RNA". It matches the Rfam family "Bacterial large subunit ribosomal RNA", at positions 2238 to 2803 of the family's 2925-position model. RNAcentral also lists the same sequence under 8 other names. The record is from RNAcentral. Lineage: Bacteria; Pseudomonadati; Pseudomonadota; Gammaproteobacteria; Enterobacterales; Enterobacteriaceae.
AUCCGGGUUGCGGACAGUGUCUGGUGGGUAGUUUGACUGGGGCGGUCUCCUCCUAAAGAGUAACGGAGGAGCACGAAGGUUGGCUAAUCCUGGUCGGACAUCAGGAGGUUAGUGCAAUGGCAUAAGCCAGCUUGACUGCGAGCGUGACGGCGCGAGCAGGUGCGAAAGCAGGUCAUAGUGAUCCGGUGGUUCUGAAUGGAAGGGCCAUCGCUCAACGGAUAAAAGGUACUCCGGGGAUAACAGGCUGAUACCGCCCAAGAGUUCAUAUCGACGGCGGUGUUUGGCACCUCGAUGUCGGCUCAUCACAUCCUGGGGCUGAAGUAGGUCCCAAGGGUAUGGCUGUUCGCCAUUUAAAGUGGUACGCGAGCUGGGUUUAGAACGUCGUGAGACAGUUCGGUCCCUAUCUGCCGUGGGCGCUGGAGAACUGAGGGGGGCUGCUCCUAGUACGAGAGGACCGGAGUGGACGCAUCACUGGUGUUCGGGUUGUCAUGCCAAUGGCACUGCCCGGUAGCUAAAUGCGGAAGAGAUAAGUGCUGAAAGCAUCUAAGCACGAAACUUGCCCCGAG